Molecule: long non-coding RNA, 651 nt
Organism: Ailuropoda melanoleuca (giant panda)
Lineage: Eukaryota; Metazoa; Chordata; Mammalia; Carnivora; Ursidae
Exons: 5
Source: RefSeq, a predicted model, not a curated record
AGGCUUCAAAACCCAUGAAGUUUUCUACUGCAUGAACCAUUUUAAUCUACCUCUUGCCUGAAUUAUUUUGAUGGAGACUUCAUGAAGGGCACGUUGUAAAAACUGGGAAUGACACAGGCGUGCUGAUGAGCCUAUUAGAAACAUGAGAAUCUGUGCUGGGCCAAGUUCUCCAGAUGAAGUCUUCAAAUAAGAGCCAGUUUUGAGGAGCUCAUCUGUGUCCAUCUUGGGAUAGUAGCCUGGGGUUCCCAACUUUGGCAUCCAUAAGAAUCAGCUGAAGAGCUUGUGAAAAUACAGGUUCCUGGGCCUCUCCCCAGAGUUUCUGCCUCAGUGGAUCUGAAGUGAGAAGGUCAAAGGAUCAAGUCAAUACACAUGGAUGCAAUCAAGGAAGAUUUUCACUUUAUCUGGACCUCCUGUGUUGGGAUGUUUGCUGGUUUCUUUUAAAUAUAAAGAGGUUAGUGGACUCAAUUUCACAUGUCAUUAAAGAACAUCAAGGUUUCCAUCAUAUUUUAUUUAUUUUGUGGUCAUUAAACAUUAUGUUGGAACGUAUUCAGAUGGGCAUAUUUUUUGUAAUUGUUACACAGAUUUUCCUGAAACUCGAAUAAAGGUUAUAGAUGUUUGAUUUGCCGAGACAGUUCUAUAGUUCACAGACUC